Molecule: unclassified non-coding RNA, 578 nt
Filed under: Hevea brasiliensis (rubber tree)
Lineage: Eukaryota; Viridiplantae; Streptophyta; Magnoliopsida; Malpighiales; Euphorbiaceae
Source: RNAcentral
GGAACUAGAUCAAGAUAAAGUGUAUUGUUGGACUAGCAACUCCUGGUUGUGAUUCCUUAGAGAUCUUUCAAUUCUCAAGUAGUGAAUGCAUGCAUGCACUCAAUCAUAAAUCUCCAUUGAUUAGUGAUAAAAUUCAUCGGUUUGUUCAUCAUCCAUCUGCUGGAAACACAAAUCUGGUAAGUACCCUCAAGUGAAGCCGGCGUUGAACAUUUUUAGACGCCUUUAUCUUGUUCUAUUAAAGACAGACACAUUGGAGAUUACCAGAGUCAUUUGCACCAGAAGCAUUGAACAAGGCCGCAGAUAGUCACGUCAUAGAGGAGUUUGGCCUUGUGAAUUUGCUGGUGUUGUGUCCAUUUCAAGGAGAGUUCUGGGUAGUUUCUUAGAAGGAUGUACCCGAUAUUACACUUGCAUUUGCUCAUGGAUUGUUCAUAGGACAAAAAAGAGAACUACGUGCCAAUGCACCCACUUGAUAUGUGCCAUGGCCUGGAGGGUUUCUUCAGUUGUCUUGUUUUCCAGAAACUGUGUCAAAGUAACCAUUGAACUUGCACCAAGUGGGUGUAUUAUUUUCUUUUCCUUCU